This is a long non-coding RNA of Scylla paramamosain (green mud crab), 2128 nucleotides long. RefSeq lists it as uncharacterized. The transcript is spliced from 5 exons. The record is from RefSeq and is a predicted model, not a curated record. Lineage: Eukaryota; Metazoa; Arthropoda; Malacostraca; Decapoda; Portunidae.
AAAAAGACCGGCCGGAGGGUGGAAGGAGGCCGGAAGGGGCGGGAGGGGAAUGCUCGCGCCUCGGCCUCGCAGUUAGUCAGCGGUAGUGAGACAGAGAAGAGGUGUGCUUGGUGGUGUCUCAAGGGUGCAGGUUAGGUGGAGUUUCAGGCCUCGGCUGCAGAACAGGAUGCUGCUGCUUCUGCAGUACAUUCUGAGACGCCUGCCUUCGGUUCCAUGUCGAAAAUUAACUUGGCUGCUCCAAAUUGUCUUCCUGACUGAAGACCCUGAAAAGAUUAAAGCUACACUUUCUCAGUGAACACAGACAAAAGUGCCACUUCAUUCUGUUUGACCAAAAUGUAGCAGCAUUGAUCAUCUGUGGAAUAUGAGAAAAAAAGUAUGGUACAGUACUGUAUCCACUCCAGCUGGUAGUAUUGUCUUCACAAAUGAAGCUCUUUCAUUAGGCACACUGACAGCAGGAAGGUGUGAGCAGUCUAAAGGAAAACAACAAAGUGAAAGUUCUUAUUUCAGCACAGACCUAUAUGAACAUGGAGUGACAUGACACGAAGGUGAAUGCAAUGGAUGCAUAUGAAAAUUGUGGAGUGGGCACCUGUGCAAAUGGUGUAGAGGAAUGAAAUUGAUGGAAAACACUGAAGGGGUUUUAGUUUGAAGAUUAUCUGAGUGCAAAGCAAAGGGAAGGUUGUAUGAAAUGUGAUAAUGGUGUAAAAGAGUGCAUCAGAGGUGGGGUUUCGAGGAAUGGAGGCUCUGUCUGAAACUGCUGCCACUGUAUUGAGGAUGAUAAUGCUGCCAGGAGUGAUUGACUGGUCAGUAGUGUUAGGUGCCACGGAAGGAAUUAAAACCUCUACAGAGAAAGCAAGUAAAUUUAUUCUAGAUAAGAAAGUAAGGAUCACUACAGGGUUGUCCCACAAGUUAAGGUAUAUGCUCUGUGUAGCACCACUCAAGUAUGUAUUGAGCCCAGGAGGAAGGGAAGGAGGAGGAGGCCCAUCCAAUCAAGUGGCUCCUGCAACAAUAAAGCAAACCACUGCAUAUGUGUAAAAUAGAAUAUUUUCAACUUAGUUACUCAAACUAUCAUAUCUCAAAGUAUGUAGCUCAACUCACAGGACACCCUAUAUAAUUAAGUAAUCUAUGAAGGGUUUUGCUAAUACUGUUAAUAGCUUGAGUAGCACCUUUUUCCAGAUAGACAUCUGAAGAAGCAGCCUAUGGCUCAUUAUUUUAAUUUGUAUUCAAAAUUGUAUAAAGUGAUAUGGGCACAUUUGGUAUUCAUGCAACAUUUCUUGUAUGAAGACAGCUUGUUGGAAACUCAAAUAUGUAUUAAUGAUACACAUUGUAUGAGGUGUAAUGUAAGUUCAGCUACAAAACUUGGUGAUAAUUCAAGCAAGUCAAUCUAAAAAAUUGUUUGGUCUACACAUCAGUUUUCAAGAAAUUGAGGUUAGGGGUACAUAAUUCAAGAUAUGGUAAUGCAAGUCAUUCUACAUAAAACUUAAUCCAUAUUUGUGUUCACUGCCCCUGCCUGUCAUGUAUGGCACCACUGACAGCAGCAUGUUCCUGUUCCAUUCCCAAGAGCCAGUAACUGCUAUGGUCACAGAUUUCUGUAAAGAUUUUGUUGGCUAAGAUUGUGAAAAUGUUCACACACCAACUUCAAGAAAGUAACUGACAUGCAUAUAUAUCACUGCUGCCUUGCACUGCAAGCACAUGGUUAACAUUUCUUUCUGAAACAUUUUAUGGAGAAUGACGAAUUAACCAUAUCUUGAACUAUGUAGAAUGACUUGAAUUAACCAUAUCUUGAACUAUGUAUGUAUGUACAGCUGGCUACAUCCCAGUGAGGUCCACCCAACAUGGUCAAGGUUGGCAAUAUUGUAACAAGAAACAUUGCAAGUAACUUCACUUGCCUGUAAGCAUUCAUUAAUGAUGGGAGGGAGAGGUAAGGAGGGGAAGGGCCUCCUACCCUCAUCAGAGCCCUCUUAGCUACUGCAAACCAUCCCCCUCCAUAACUCUCCCUACCACCAAUGAAUGGUUACAAUCUCACCAGCCUUGAUCAAGAACACUAGGUUGACCUUGCAGGAGUGUGGCCAGCUGUGACCUGUAGGUGGAAUCGUCUAUAUACUAUAAAUAAACCCACUGAGGAAAUCCA